RNAcentral lists this ribosomal RNA (468 nucleotides) under uncultured bacterium. RNAcentral's name for it is "partial 16S ribosomal RNA". It matches the Rfam family "Bacterial small subunit ribosomal RNA", at positions 28 to 507 of the family's 1533-position model. The record is from RNAcentral.
GACGAACGCUGGCGGCGUGCUUAACACAUGCCAGUCGAACGGAAAGGCCCUGCUUUUGUGGGGUGCUCGAGUGGCGAACGGGUGAGUAACACGUGAGUAACCUGCCCUUGACUUUGGGAUAACUUCAGGAAACUGGGGCUAAUACCGGAUAGGAGCUCCUGCUGCAUGGUGGGGGUUGGAAAGUUUCGGCGGUUGGGGAUGGACUCGCGGCUUAUCAGCUUGUUGGUGGGGUAGUGGCUUACCAAGGCUUUGACGGGUAGCCGGCCUGAGAGGGUGACCGGCCACAUUGGGGCUGAGGUGCGGCCCAGACUCCUACGGGGGGCAGCAGUGGGGAAUAUUGCACAAUGGGCGGAAGCCUGAUGCAGCAACGCCGCGUGCGGGAUGACGGCCUUCGGGUUGUAAACCGCUUUCGCCUGUGACGAAGCGUGAGUGACGGUAAUGGGUAAAGAAGCACCGGCUAACUACGUG